RNAcentral lists this long non-coding RNA (211 nucleotides) under Medicago truncatula (barrel medic). RNAcentral's name for it is "long non-coding RNA (MTRU_LNC007557)". The record is from RNAcentral. Lineage: Eukaryota; Viridiplantae; Streptophyta; Magnoliopsida; Fabales; Fabaceae.
GACAGAAUUGACAAAUUGAAAACACGAGAAAGAGAGAUACCUGAAGAAGAAAUUACAGGAAAAAGAGAGAGAGAAAGCUAACUCCGGUGGCCGAUAACAAACUCUGGUGACUUUUUCCGUCCAGUUGAGUUCAACGCUUCAACCCACUUCUUACGUUUUACGGCCGGCGAGUUUUGUUUUGUUGUUUCAAUGGCUGCUUACUACAGUUUCC